UCGACCGAAGCAUCGAUUCAAUUUCAACUAUUUCAUUUCAAAAAGCAGGGCGCGGACAGAAACAAGCACCACCCAUCACUCACAUCACACCCGCUCGAUGUGCCCGGCAUUACUUCAUUAAACAGAUCCAUGAGUUCUAAAGACACUUGCAGAAACGAGCUCCGCACUGCCAUUCGUCAACUCAGUGACCGAUGCCUUUACUCCGCCUCCAAAUGGGCAGCAGAACAAUUAGUUGGAAUCGAACAAGAUCCGGCCAAGUAUACACCCUCGAACACCAGAUUCCAACGUGGAAGCUCAAGCAUUCGCCGAAGGUUCCGCACAAAUGAGAUUACUUCAACGCCGGCUGCCGGUGUUUCUUACGUCUCCACUCCGGUAAUGGAGGAAGAUGAAGUGGUGGAUGGUGAUUUUUAUCUUUUGGCAAAGUCAUACUUUGAUUGUAGAGAGUACAGGAGGGCUGCUCACGUGCUUCGUGAUCAAAAUGGAAAGAAAUCGGUGUUUCUGCGCUGUUAUGCUCUUUAUCUGGCUGGAGAAAAGCGGAAGGAGGAAGAAACAAUAGAACUUGAAGGGCCAUUGGGCAAGAGUGAUGCUGUGAAUCGUGAACUUGUUUCCCUUGAGAGAGAGUUAUCUACAUUUCGCAAGAAUGGAAUGUUUGAUCCCUUUGGUUUGUAUUUAUAUGGUAUGGUGCUAAAAGAUAAAGGCAGUGACUAUCUUGCUCGUACAGUUUUAGUGGAGUCUGUUAAUAGCUACCCUUGGAACUGGAGUGCCUGGUUGGAGCUGCAGUCAUUGUGCACUACAGUUGACAUCUUGAACAGCCUUAAUCUAAAUAACCAUUGGAUGAAGGACUUUUUCCUUGCCAGUGCUUAUCAAGAACUUAGGAUGCACAACGAAUCCUUAACUAAAUAUGAAUAUCUACAGGGCACUUUCAGUUUCAGCAAUUACAUACAGGCUCAAAUUGCAAAAGCACAGUACAGUUUGAGAGAAUUUGAACAAGUUGAAGUGAUAUUUGAAGAGCUUUUAAGGAAUGACCCCUAUAGAGUGGAAGACAUGGAUAUGUACUCUAAUGUGCUAUAUGCAAAGGAGUGCUUCUCUGCUUUAAGUUAUCUUGCCCACAGAGUAUUUAUGACUGAUAAAUACAGACCUGAAUCUUGUUGCAUAAUUGGGAAUUACUACAGUUUAAAGGGGCAGCAUGAGAAAUCAGUUGUGUAUUUUAGGAGGGCACUUAAAUUGAACAAAAACUUUUUGUCAGCUUGGACACUAAUGGGCCAUGAAUAUGUUGAGAUGAAAAACACUCCAGCUGCUGUUGAUGCCUAUAGACGAGCUGUAGAUAUAAAUCCAUGUGAUUAUCGAGCCUGGUAUGGGUUAGGACAAGCUUAUGAGAUGAUGCAUAUGCCUUUCUAUGCUCUUCAUUAUUUUCGAAAAUCUGUAUUCUUGCAGCCAAGCGAUUCUCGGUUGUGGAUUGCCAUGGCUCAGUGUUAUGAAACUGAACAGCUUCACAUGCUUGAAGAGGCAAUAAAAUGCUAUAGAAGAGCUGCAAAUUGUAAUGACAGUGAAGCAAUUGCCCUGAACCAGCUUGCAAAGCUGCAUCAUGAACUUGGGCGUGAUGAGGAAGCAGCAUUCUACUACAAGAAGGAUUUGGAUAGGAUGGAAGCUGAAGAGAGGGAAGGACCAAAUAUUGUUGAAGCUUUGUUAUUUCUUGCGACUCACUGCGGAGCCCAUAACAGAUUUGAAGAAGCAGAGGUGUAUUGUACCCGUCUUCUGGAUUUUACUGGCCCGGAGAAAGAAACUGCUAAGAGUAUGCUUCGGGGAAUGAGAACGGCACAAUCAAGUUUUCCUCCCAUGGAUGUUGAGCGCUUUCCUCCAUGAUUUUUUGGGUCUCACUCGUAGAAGUUAAAAAUCCUCUGAAGCAGCAGUCACUUGUUUCGUUUUCAACACUUGAGAUAUGUCUAGUUAUAGUGACAAGCAUAUAUUGGCGUUCUGUGCUGCGGAAACCAUUGGUGUGUUAUUUUUAUAUGUAUUUGUUUGUCUUUUUAGGAAGGAUAGACAGAUAUUACAGCAGGAAAUUCCAGCCUGAGUAUGUUGCAGUAAUUUAUAGUUACAAGUAUGUAGCAGUAAGGCACGUAUAUUUCUCAACCAUUGGUGUUGUACUGUGACAUUACAACUGAAAGAUGUGGCUGGAACCCUGUUUCCAUCUAUUCACAUCUCACCUGUUUUGGGAUUCUCAACCCCGGGAGGUAUCAACAAACCUACCUCUCACAGAAUUAAACAUUUCAACAGUUAAAGACACAGUGAUGUUUUUCAGGUUAGUAAUGUAUGGCUUCUUCUGUUCAUGUGCUCAAUGCUCAUGGUGAGUUCCGAUCGCUUUUCUGCUGAU
This is an RNA transcript of Pistacia vera, 2371 nucleotides long. It is a transcript of the gene named anaphase-promoting complex subunit 8-like, with no coding region annotated. The transcript has 5 exons. Lineage: Eukaryota; Viridiplantae; Streptophyta; Magnoliopsida; Sapindales; Anacardiaceae. The record is from RefSeq and is a predicted model, not a curated record.